UGGGGAAUUUUGGACAAUGGGCGAAAGCCUGAUCCAGCAAUGCCGCGUGUGUGAAGAAGGCCUUCGGGUUGUAAAGCACUUUUGUCCGGAAAGAAAUCCUUGGCUCUAAUACAGUCGGGGGAUGACGGUACCGGAAGAAUAAGCACCGGCUAACUACGUGCCAGCAGCCGCGGUAAUACGUAGGGUGCAAGCGUUAAUCGGAAUUACUGGGCGUAAAGCGUGCGCAGGCGGUUUGCUAAGACCGAUGUGAAAUCCCCGGGCUCAACCUGGGAACUGCAUUGGUGACUGGCAGGCUAGAGUAUGGCAGAGGGGGGUAGAAUUCCACGUGUAGCAGUGAAAUGCGUAGAGAUGUGGAGGAAUACCGAUGGCGAAGGCAGCCCCCUGGGCCAGUACUGACGCUCAUGCACGAAAGCGUGGGGGAGCAAACAGGAUUAGAUACCCCUGGUAGUCCACGCCCUAAACGAUGUCAACUAGUUGUUGGGGAUUCAUUUCCUUAGUAACGUAGCUAACGCGUGAAGUUGACCGCCUGGGGGGUACGGUCGCAAGAUU
RNAcentral lists this ribosomal RNA (549 nucleotides) under uncultured bacterium. Its description in RNAcentral is "partial 16S ribosomal RNA". It matches the Rfam family "Bacterial small subunit ribosomal RNA", at positions 355 to 895 of the family's 1533-position model. The record is from RNAcentral.